RNAcentral lists this transfer RNA (74 nucleotides) under Cavia porcellus (domestic guinea pig). It matches the Rfam family "tRNA". From Rfam's summary of the family: Transfer RNA (tRNA) molecules are approximately 80 nucleotides in length. Their secondary structure includes four short double-helical elements and three loops (D, anti-codon, and T loops). Further hydrogen bonds mediate the characteristic L-shaped molecular structure. tRNAs have two regions of fundamental functional importance: the anti-codon, which is responsible for specific mRNA codon recognition, and the 3' end, to which the tRNAs corresponding amino acid is attached (by aminoacyl-tRNA synthetases). tRNAs cope with the degeneracy of the genetic code in two manners: having more than one tRNA (with a specific anti-codon) for a particular amino acid; and 'wobble' base-pairing, i.e. permitting non-standard base-pairing at the 3rd anti-codon position. The record is from Rfam by way of RNAcentral. Lineage: Eukaryota; Metazoa; Chordata; Mammalia; Rodentia; Caviidae.
UGCAGUGUGGCUCAGUGGUAGAGCGCUUGCCUAGUAUGUGCAAGACCCCUUGAGUUCAAUCCCCAGCACCACAA